RNAcentral lists this ribosomal RNA (466 nucleotides) under uncultured bacterium. RNAcentral describes it as "partial 16S ribosomal RNA". It matches the Rfam family "Bacterial small subunit ribosomal RNA", at positions 28 to 507 of the family's 1533-position model. The record is from RNAcentral.
GAUGAACGCUGGCGGCGUGCCUAACACAUGCAAGUCGAACGGAAAGGCCACAGCUUGCUGUGGUACUCGAGUGGCGAACGGGUGAGUAACACGUGGGUGAUCUGCCCUGUACUUCGGGAUAAGCUUGGGAAACUGGGUCUAAUACCGGAUAGGAAUCACAUGUGGGUGUGUGGUUGGAAAGCUUUUGCGGUAUGGGAUGAGCUCGCGGCCUAUCAGCUUGUUGGUGGGGUAAUGGCCUACCAAGGCGUCGACGGGUAGCCGGCCUGAGAGGGUGUACGGCCACAUUUGGACUGAGAUACGGCCCAGACUCCUACGGGAGGCAGCAGUGGGGAAUAUUGCACAAUGGGCGCAAGCCUGAUGCAGCGACGCCGCGUGGGGGAUGACGGCCUUCGGGUUGUAAACUCCUUUCGUCAGGGACGAAGCGAAAGUGACGGUACCUGGAUAAGAAGCACCGGCUAACUACGUG